UAGACUUUUGCCUCUCUCAGUUCACUCACUUGUUCAUAUUUCAAAUGCCACAAGGCUUUCCUGCAUACAUGAGGCCUUUUCCUGUAUUCUCCGUUCUGUUCCAGUGACAGGUCUGUCUGUGUUUAUUCUAUUACCUCCUCUCCCCAUGGCUUUUUAUAGAAGUUUGAUAUCUGGUAGGGCAAAUAUGCUCAUUUUCAAAUUUUUCUUAGCUAUUCUCAUGAAUUUACUGUUUCUGGUGAAUUUUAGAAUUAUUCUAAUGAGUUCUAAGACACAUCCCAUUGAGAUUUUGAUAACAAUUGUGCUAAAUUUAUAGAUGAAUAUGAGAAAGUCAGUUCUCACUAGCAGGUCUUUCCAUCAAGGAGCAUAUUGUAUCUGCUUAUUCUGGAGUUGCCUCUCUGAUAACAGUUUUAACCUAGAUGCUCAUUGUGGCAUUGUUUUGUUCUAAACACAUGUAUUACAAAGAUAGUAUUAGAGUAAAUUAGUUGAGGGAAAAGCCUUACAUCAUCUAUCCCUGUUUUCAUUUCUCUUUUCAUCUUUAAUUUUGGUCUAAGGAGACUUCUCACCACAGAAGACAGCACAUAAAAACUUCCAGCCAUAAAAUUUUAAAACAAAAAGAAGGUAGCAUUUCUCCCCUUUAAUGUUCCCUCAACCUUACUCUUGACUAUGUCUGUAAAGUAGAAGCUUUCCUUAAAGUGAUAAAGAGGAGGGGGAAAACCCCCACAUACAUUCAUACUACAGAGUUUGUAUGUAUAUUUUCUCUUUUUCCUAAGAUUUUAAAAAAAUAGAAUGCCUAGGGGAAAAUAUUUGAGCUAAGACUAUUUUUGUCAUACGCUUGACAUUGGCAUAUGCAGUUAUAAGGCUCCUGGGAAGUCACCCAGCAAACUCUGGGGAACAAUGUCAAAGCAGAGGAACCUGGCUGUUCCAUUAAGUAGGGGCCAUCCCCUACUGAGUUUUUUAUACUUUGACAUUUUAAACUCACACAAUAAAGCCAAAACAAGCAUUACAGAACAAUGUAACAUAAACAUAGGAUGUAAGUUUUGCCCUUAAUCUUGAGUGCGCACAUGUGUCCUUGUCAGUUUAUGAGCUUGCCUUGGCCAGAAAAAUACCAAAUAUAGGGAUCCUCCUCCUUCAGCGAAGACAUUUGUUUUAGGAAACCUUGAAUGUUUAUUAAUGCGAGCACCUUUUUAUAUUCAGAUAAUGUUUUGUAGUUGACAAAGUGCUUUCAACAUGUCAUCUCAUUUCCUUCUGACCACAAUACCAUGAGGCUUAAGGAAACCACUAAUAUACAUUAGUAUAUUCAUUAUAGCAUUCUUAGAAAAGAAUGGCUUUAAAGAGUACUUAUUUGAUAAUAUAACACAUAUUUGUUGGCAGUCAUAAUAUGAAUGAGCCCUGUACCAAGCUCUUGGUACUUCAUAGCAUAGAAGUUACACACAUUUACAAGACUGAAGGAGAAAAAAAAAAGAUAAAUAUGUAAAAUAUAUGUUUUACAUAGUGAUAAUAGGGAAGCAAUAAAAAUUGUGUAAUGGCUGGAGAAAGAUGGUGAUAAAGUGGGAGCAACCUUAGAUGGGUGUGUCAGUGAAGACUUCUCUAAAGAGAGUGGAGACUGAGCAUGGUGACUCACAUUUGUAAUCCCAGCACUUUGGGACACUGAGGCAAGAGGAUCGGUUGAGCCCAGGAGUUCAAGACUAGCCUGAGCAACACAGAGAGACCCCACCUCUACAAAAGAUUAAAACAAUUAGCAAGGCAUGGUGGCACGUGCCAGUAGUCCCAGCUACUCAGGAGGCUGAGAUGAGAGGAUCACUUGAGCCCAGGAAUUGGAGGAUGUAGUGAGGUAUGAUCAUGCCGUUGCACUCCAGCCUGGGUGACAGAGUAGGGCCCUGUCUCAUAAAUAAAAAAUAUAAAAAUUUAUAAGAGAGCUGAGACCAAAAUAAUGAGAGAAAACUAACCAUCCUUUGGGUGGUAGCUGGAGGGAGAUUUGUGUCAAGGGACAUCUAUUUGAACAAGGACAUAUUUACAUGUCAAUGGCUUGUACCCUUGUCCUGCAAUGGUAGCAGUAGAGGUGGUGGGAAGAGGUCAGAACUGGAAUAUAUUUUGAAGGUAGAUGUGACAAGAUUUACUGAUGUGGGGUGUGAGAAAUAAAGAAGCCAAAGAUGAUGUCAAGGAUUUUAGGCUAAGCAUCAGACGAUCGAGUUGCCACUUACUGAAAUAUGGAAAAUUAGGAGUUUGACCUGAGAUGUCCAUGAGAGACUUAAGUGAAGAUAUUGCAAAGGUAGAUAUGUGCAGCUGAAAUUCCAGGGAGAGGCCCAGGAUGCAGAUGGGCCUCUGCAUACUGCAUAUAGAUCAGUAUGCAGAUUGUAUGUAAGCCACAUGGCUGGAUAAAUUCACCAAGGGAAUGAAUGAAGAUCAUUGGAGAAGGAGAGAGGCCCAUUGAGCCCCGGGCCCUCCAUGGUUUAGAGGUUUUCCUAAACCUUGGAAUGGUGUUUCAAGGAGGAAAGAGGAAUCGAUUUUGUCAAUGCUGCCCAUCAUCAAGUCAGAAUAAGACUGAAAAUUGGUCCAUGCAUUUAGCAACGUGGAGGUCAGUAAUGAUAUUGACACAAAUAGCAUUUGUGGAAGAGUGGGAAUGAAAAUAUGAUGGAGCAGUGGGAUGUAUUAGUCUGCUCUCACACUGCUGAUAAAGACAUACCUAAGACUGGGUAAUUUAUAUAUAUAUAAAAAAAGAAGUUUAAUGGACUCACAGUUGCACGUGGCUGGAGAGACCUCACAAUCAUGGAGGAAGGUGAAAGGCACAUCUUACAUGGCAGCAGGCAAAGAAGGAAUGAAAGAGCCAAGCAAAAGGGGAAAUCCCUUAUAAAAUCAUCAGCUCUUGUGAGACUUGUUCACUACCAUGAGAACAGUGUAAGAGAAACCACCCCCACAAUUCAAUUAUCUCCCACUGGGUCCCUCCCACAAAACGUGGGAAAUAUGGGAGCUGCAAUUGAAGAUGAAAUUUGGGUGGGAACACAGCCAAACCUUAACCAUGGGGUUGAGAUGAAAAAAAAUCAGAGACUAUAAGUAAAGACCCCUCUUUUCAGGAGUUUUGUUAUAAAAAAGAAAAAACACUGGUAUAUUUAUUUCUUCAAUAACUGUUGGGUGAGGAAUGAGUGGUGAAGUCACCUUUUGGCCAGAUUUCAGGCACCACAGAGAAGGCCCUGGGUGGACUGCUUUUAUGACAAGACUGGUUGGCCUUAGAGGGAAGUUCCCUUAGAGGGAAGUCACAGGGAGAUGAGGUUACAUUAGAAACCAAGAAAUAUACAUAGAAUUAAGGGAACAACAAGGUCUAUUGUUGCACUGGGGAAGUAGCAGCAGUGGGAAGCCACCAUCCCCGGCAGCCUGAGAGAGAAAGAGAGGAAGCCCAGUGAGAGUUGGAGACAGGAAUCAGAAAAGAAAAUCCUCUACAAAUAUACUGAAAGGCAUCUAAUGAAGUAAUUAUUUAUAGAGUAGUAAGGAGGGUUACAAGAACCAAUAAGAGGUGCUAAGGCAUCCUAGGGCUACCUUAUUUAUUGAGUUGGUGCCCAAUAAACCAUUAAGAGAAUUUCUGGAACACUGUACUGAAACCUGUCAUUUUGGAUCAAGGUCCAAGCAGGGUCUCUCCUAGCCCCUUUAUCCCAAUUCUAACCAUAGCAGGUGUGUGAGAGUAAGGGAUUGGAAUGACCUCUGUUGAGGACUGGCUUGGAGCUUAUAAAGGCCGUACGCUUGCACUAACUUUGAAUCUGGCUUCAUGGGAGAACAGAGGGAACAGAGAAAUUGAACCCAAGAAAGAAGAGCCCAGAACCCAGAAAGGUUGAUGAUGGAGUUGACUGGAGAGGAAGAGGCAAGCCCAGACAUCACUUUUAUUGUCUGUUAUUUUGCAAACGGCAAUUUUGUCAGAGGCAUUCGAACCAGAGUGACUUCAUCUUGAGUGAGGGUUAGAAAAAAAUGCGACUGGGACUUGCUGGACUGCAUUCCCAGAAAGUUAGGUAUUCCUGGCCAGGCAUGUGGGUCAUGCCUGUAAUCCCAGCACUUUGGGAGGCCGAGGUGGGCAGAUUACAAGGUCAGGAGUUGGAGACCAGCCUGGCCAACAUGGAGAAACUCUGUCUCUACUAAAAAUACAAAAAUUAGCCGGGCGUUGUGGCAGGUUCCUGUAGUCCCAGCUGCUCGGGAGGCUGAGGAAGGAGAACUGCUUGAACCCAGGAGGCGGAGGUUGCAGUGAGCCAAGACUGCACCACUACACUCCAGCCUGGGUGACAGAGCGAGACUCCGUCUCUGAAAAACAAAAACAACAACAAAAAGUUAAGCAUUCCUAGCCUCUAGAUGUUCAUGGUUAAGGGAACAGAUUGAUAAUGUUUACUAAACAGACCCAGACAUAAGGGUGUCCUGAUAUCCCGCUGUCUUGAGAACAGAAGCAUUCCUAAUUUUGCUUUAAAGAUAAUAAUAUCGAUUCUUGCAAAAUAUAGUCAUUAAGAAAAUCCAUUACCACAAACCCUUGUAGCAGAGCACAUCUCCCCAUAAUCUUUAAAAAUUUUUUUUUAUCCUGUGUAUAAGCAAGUAUUGUACCUAGGGUGGAUGUGUUCCUCCUCUUACUUUCGGGAACGUCCUACUCUGUAUAUGGAGUAGCCAUUCUUUUAUUUCUUUACUUCCUUAAUAAACUUGCUUUCAUUUUACUCUAUGGACUCGUCCUGAAUUCUUUGUGUGUGAAAUCCAAGAAUGCUUUCUUGGGGUAUGGAUCCGGACCCCUUUCCGGAAACAAUUUUGCCUUCUAAACAUGACCCAAUUAGAGUUCUGGAACUUUGCCUAGGGCUUAGAGUUAAAUAGGAUUUCACUAUUCACUUAAAUUUACAUAACAUAUUAGCAUUUUAAAGAGACUUGAACUUAAGUGAUUAUAUUUGAUGACCCACAUAACUCUGUACUAGUGAGAGAGGGAUCUGUCAUCCCAUUUAACAUAUGAGGAUUUAUUCCUUUCCUCAAUAGAUUGCCAUAGAGUACCUAUUAAGAGCCUUGGCUGGGCGCUGUGGCUCAAGCCUGUAAUCCCAGCACUUUGGGAGGCCAGGGUGGGCAGAUCACCUGAAGUCAGGAGUUUGAGAACAACCUGGCCAACAUGGUGAAACCCUGUCUCUACAAAAAAUAAAAAAAUUAGCCAGGGGUGAGGGCAGGUGCCUGUAAUCUUAGCUACUUAGGAGGCUGAGGCAGGAGAAUCACUGGAACCCACGAGGCGGAGGUUGCAGUGAGCCGAGAUCACACCAGUGCACUCCACCCUGGACGAUAGAAUGAGACUUCUAAAAAAAAAAAAAACGCCUCACACGGUUUUAGGUGCUAUUAAUACAGUAAGAAACAAAUAAACAAAGCUCAUUGCCCUUGAUGGACUUUAAAAAAUGAUCCAAGUAUAUGCUGUCUGUAAAAGAUACACCCUAGACUCAAAGACACAAAUAAGCAAAUCAAAGGAUGAAAAAGAUACACUAUAUGAACACUAGCCAAAGAGGUCUGGAAUGGCUACACUAAUAGCAGACAAAACAGACUUUAAGGCUGGGGUCAGUGGCUCGCGCUUGUAAUCCCAGCAUGUUGGGAGCCCGAGGCAGGCGGGUCACCUGAGGUCAUCAGGAGUUCAAGACCAGCCUGGCCAACAUGGUGAAACCCCGUCUCUACUAAAAAUACAAAAAAAAAUUAGCCAGGUGUGGUGGCAUGCACCUGUAAUCCCAGCUACUCAGGAGGCUGAGGCAGGAGAAUCGCUUGAACCUGGGAGUCAGAUGUUGCAGUGAGCUGAGAUCGUGCCACUGCACUCCAGCCCAGGUAACAGAGCAAGACUCCAUCUCAAAAAAAAAAAAAAAAAA
Molecule: long non-coding RNA, 5843 nt
Filed under: Homo sapiens (human)
Lineage: Eukaryota; Metazoa; Chordata; Mammalia; Primates; Hominidae
Description: HSALNT0123487
Source: RNAcentral